RNAcentral lists this ribosomal RNA (253 nucleotides) under uncultured bacterium. RNAcentral's name for it is "partial 16S ribosomal RNA". It matches the Rfam family "Bacterial small subunit ribosomal RNA", at positions 524 to 776 of the family's 1533-position model. The record is from RNAcentral.
UACGAAGGGUGCAAGCGUUACUCGGAAUUACUGGGCGUAAAGCGUGCGUAGGUGGUGAGUUAAGUCUGUCGUGAAAGCCCCGGGCUCAACCUGGGAAUGGCGAUGGAUACUGGCUCGCUAGAGUGCGGUAGAGGAGAGUGGAAUUCCCGGUGUAGCAGUGAAAUGCGUAGAGAUCGGGAGGAACAUCAGUUGCGAAGGCGGCUCUCUAGUACGGUACUGACGCUGAGACGCGAAAGCGUGGGGAGCGAACGAG